Molecule: ribosomal RNA, 353 nt
Filed under: uncultured bacterium
Lineage: Bacteria
Description: bacterial SSU rRNA
Rfam family: Bacterial small subunit ribosomal RNA
Source: RNAcentral
GGGUCCGCACAAGCAGUGGAGCAUGUGGUUUAAUUCGAUGCAACGCGAAGAACCUUACCAGGCCUUGACAUCCUCGGAACUUUCUAGAGAUAGAUUGGUGCCUUCGGGAACCGAGUGACAGGUGCUGCAUGGCUGUCGUCAGCUCGUGUCGUGAGAUGUUGGGUUAAGUCCCGCAACGAGCGCAACCCUCGUCCUUAGUUGCUACCAUUUAGUUGGGCACUUUAAGGAAACUGCCGGUGAUAAGCCGGAGGAAGGUGGGGAUGACGUCAAGUCCUCAUGGCCCUUACAGGCUGGGCUACACACGUACUACAAUGCUACGGACAAAGGGCAGCAAGUUCGCGAGGACAAGCAAA